GACGAACCGAGCGAACGUUGUUCGGAAUCACUGGGCUUAAAGGGCGCGUAGGCGGGCUGUCAAGUCUGGGGUGAAAUCCCGCGGCUCAACCGUGGAACUGCCUCAGAUACUGACGGUCUCGAGGGGGAUAGGGGCGAGCGGAACUGUGAGUGGAGCGGUGAAAUGCGUUGAUAUUCACAGGAACUCCGGUGGCGAAGGCGACACACUGGCCCGUUACUGACGCUGAGGCGCGAAAGCGUGGGGAGCAAACGGG
This 253-nucleotide ribosomal RNA is filed under the name uncultured bacterium. RNAcentral describes it as "partial 16S ribosomal RNA". It matches the Rfam family "Bacterial small subunit ribosomal RNA", at positions 524 to 776 of the family's 1533-position model. The record is from RNAcentral.